Molecule: ribosomal RNA, 351 nt
Filed under: Triticum aestivum (bread wheat)
Lineage: Eukaryota; Viridiplantae; Streptophyta; Magnoliopsida; Poales; Poaceae
Description: partial small subunit ribosomal RNA
Source: RNAcentral
AUGGCCUUAGUUCUAAAGUAUGGCAAGCCGGACGUCUUCCUCACAAUGACAUGCAACCCAAACUGGGAUGAGAUUAGGCAGGAACUCUACCCCGGUCAGACACCUCAGGAUCGUCCCGAUCUCGUUGUUCGUGUUUUUAGGGCAAAGUUGGAGGAACUCAAGAAUAAGUUGCUUCAGAAGGACAUCCUGGGCAAGGUGAGGGCUUAUGUUUAUGUGGUGGAAUUCCAGAAGAGGGGUCUGCCUCAUGCACACUUCCUUCUCAUCAUGGAGGGGCGGUACAAGCUCACAUGCCCUGAGCAAUAUGACCGUCUUAUCUCAGCCGAGCUCCCAAACAAGAAGAAGCACACAUAA